Salmo salar (Atlantic salmon) is the source of this 58-nucleotide non-coding RNA. NCBI's taxonomy places the organism in Eukaryota, Metazoa, Chordata, Actinopteri, Salmoniformes, Salmonidae. The record is from Rfam.
UGGCUCAGGUGGUAGAGCGUGGUAUUUGCAAUGCCAGGGUUGUGGGUUCAAUUCCCAC